CCAGUGCCAUGAGUUUACAAAUGCCAUGGCAAUGUCAGGAAGUUACCCUAUAUGGUCUAAAAAGGGGAGGAAUCCUCAUUUCUGGGAAGUGCUCACCCCUUUCCCAGAAAACUCAUGAAACAUCCACCCCUUGUCUAGCACAUAAUUAAAAAUAACUAUAAAAAUAGUCAACCAGUAGCCGUUUGGGCUGCUCUUCCUAUGGAGUAGCUCUCUUUUAUUCCUUUACUUUCCUAAUAAACUUGCUUUCACUUUACUCUAUGGACUUGCCCUGAAUUCAAUCUUGUGUGAGGCCCAGGAACCCCCUCUUGGAGUCUGGAUCGGGAGCUCUUUCAGUGAUGAAAAUAAACAAACAACAAAAUCACCUAGUGCUGCUCAAGUUGAUGGUCAUUACUUUAUUUCGACUAUGUCAUCAGUACCUGGACAUGAGGACACUUGAAACACUUUCAAUAUAAGCUCUAGAGCUUCUAAUGGUGUCAACUUGACUGAAUUAAGAAAUAUCUAGCAACCUGGUAAAGCAUUAUUUUUGCUUGUGUCUGUGAAGAUGUUUCCAGAAGAGACUAAUAUGUGAGUCUGAGUGGAGAAGAUGAGAAGAUCUUUCCUCAGUGAGAGUGGGCAUCCAAAAAGGCAAGACCAGAAAGAACAAGAACAGAGGAAAGGUGAAUGUGUGCACCCAUCUGCUGAAGUUGGAAUACAUUCUUCUCCUAUCCCUGGACAACAACUCCAGGCUCCCCUAUCUUUGGAGUCCAGAACUUAUACAAGUGGUCCCUGAGUUCUCAAGCCUUUGGUCUUGAACUAAGAGUGACAUCAUUCAUUGGCUUCCCUCAUUCUGAGGCCUUUGGACUUGGACUGAGCAAUGCUACCAGAAUUCCAGGGUCUCCAGCUUGCAGAUGGCCUGUUACAGGAUUUCUCAGCCUCCGUAAUCAUGUCAGCCAACCUCUCUAACAAGUGUCCUCUCAUAUACCUGUAUCUGUAUCUACAAAUUCUGUCUCUCUGGAGAACCCUGAUUAACAAAACAUGGUCAUAUAAAUGAA
Molecule: long non-coding RNA, 1031 nt
Organism: Cercocebus atys (sooty mangabey)
Lineage: Eukaryota; Metazoa; Chordata; Mammalia; Primates; Cercopithecidae
Exons: 3
Source: RefSeq, a predicted model, not a curated record